GAUGCAGCUACUUAGCCUCUCUUGUCUCUUUUCUAGUCUGCUUUUUGUAUAUAAAGGUAAUUUUACAUUUUUGACACGAUAAUAGACAUGCUAGAUAGAAUUAUAAGUAAGUGUUUUGUUUUCAAUAUCGUUUGUUAGAUUACGUGCAAAAAGUCUCAAUACAAGUAGACAAAAGAUAUAACAGAUAUAUUCAACAGCGUUUUUCUAGAUUAACCUUCAUAAGGAUCGCUCUAUACCAAAUAUUUGAAAGCCACGGAUGCACUAGAAUUGCAAAAAGAGGGACGAAAGAUACAAGAGGGAGAGUCAAACUCAUAGAUUGAAAAUAAACUGACAACACCAUGGCUAAAAAUAAAAAGACAAACAGACAAAUAAUAGUACAGAAGACACAACAUAGAAAACUAAAGACUAAGCAACACAAACCCCACCUAAAACUAGGGGUGAUCUCAGGUACUCCGGAAAGGUAAACAAAUCCUGCUCCUCAUGUUGAAAAGCUAUAUGAUCUAGACAAUUGUAAUGGCCUGACCAUUAAGUUUAACCGACGAUUGGGCUCAAGCAACAAGACUAUCAGGUGCUGAUAAUUUAUUCUUAAACCAAUCUAACAAAUGGUAAAAAGCUGAAAAACAAAUAAAAUACAAUUUUACAAUGUGUUCAAUUAAUGUUAUUAAAACGAAAUGUCAAAGGUAAUAGAUAGCACAGUCCGUUGAAUCCGAGAAAAUGUUGUACUUUCAAGAGCAGUUAAAUUUCCAGUGUUUCACGGAGAGAAUGUUCAAAUAUGUAUAGAGUAAUUUGAAGGCUUCAAAAACAAUGUUGUAAAGUUAACUCACUCUGUGGUUAGCCACGAAUUGUGUCCUAGAUGACGUUUGUCCUUUGAAAAGUUCUCCAGAACUGGUAUGACCUUGCAAUGUUCGGUUUGAGAUCCGUGUGAGCAGGGGAAAGGUAGCGAUGAUACGAUGUUUUAAUGUUCUUAUAAGGUUAAAGAUGAAUAAUCCUCCUAGACUGGAACACAUAAAUAGAUUAAGAAUAUAAUCAAACGAACUAUAUAAAUUACGGAACGGUGUAACAGAAUACUCCCCGUCUGAUGUCUAUCUGAUAUCACUUUUCCAUAAAUUUUUCGAAUAUGUAUACAAGAUUUCAACAAAUGAAUUAAUCCCAAUAUAAAUUGAAUAUAUACAGGUGAAUGGUCCACUAUUUCGUGUGAGAAAUAUCAGAUCUCAACGAUUUUUCACUAUAAAGGUUCCUAAUAAGUACGUUCCACGUGAAACUGGGUAGGCACAGUUUUUUGUCCUUUAGAAGAAGGGUGUCUCGGACGACAUUGUUGUGUUCUGUAGAAUGUUCUAUUACUGCUGUAUCGAUAAUGGGAACUGUUUUCUCCAACGUAGUUAGACGGCGAUGACGAUCGAAGAUAGAUCGAAGUAUAACAAGAGUUAGUAGUUGGUUGUCUUCCGAUUUGGCGAUAUGACACAUCUUUGUGAGUAUCAGACGAAAUUAGGCGUUUCGUCAUAACGUCCAAUCCUGCAGAUCUAGUCGCUCUAUCUGUAGAGUGGCGUCCUCUAUGUUUGAUUUUGUCGUAGUAAUGUCCAAGAAAAGGUGUUACUCUGUGACGAUGUCCAGAUAAGACUACUGGUUCCUUUUCACUUAUAUUCAAGUCAGAUUUGACAAUACUGCUUCCUCCUCGUAGUAGACGUUGCUCAUGCAAUGGCAGAUUGAGAUUGGCAAUAGGUCCUUCUUUCGGAAUAGGUUUGUGAAUGCUAUUGAUUUCCUCUCCAUGAACUUUAGGUUCUGUUGAUUUCGGAUUGAAACUUUCUUUAUCUAUAGAUUUUUCUAUAGAAGUCACAGAUUUUGCUUUUAGUGACGCGAGUGAUGUCCCUUUAGAUGAAUUUGUGUGCGUUUACCAGGCUUGGUACUAGGUCCUGUACAUUCAAGGGAUUGUAUUGAAUGCGAUUUAGCGACCUUGGCAUUCGAAUGAAAGUUUUGUCGUUAUACUGAACAACAAUUGGAUUCUUGUCCUUGACGGCUAUUUCCGGUCUUGAGGCAAGACGUUGUUCUGAUUCCGUGAUUGAAACGUUAGUUAUCUUUGUGUUGACUUGAAUAGGAGAAGUUUGCUUGUCAAUGUAUGUAUUUCCAAUUAUGACCCAACCAAGUCUCAACUUUUGGGCAAAUGGAGUUCGGGAUGGUCCUAGGCGUUGUUCAAGGACGUGGUGUGCCUCUAUAAGGUCCCUUCCAAUAAGGAGAAGAAUUUGACAACGUUCCUCUAUUGGUGGAAUGCUUCCUCUGAGUUCUUUCAGAUGAGGAUGAUGCAUUGCAACUUCAGGAGUAGGAAUUUCGUCUCGAUGAUUGGGAAUAUUAUUACAUUCAAUUAAUGUAGGCAGAUCAAAUUGUACGUCACUAUGUACAGAUUUUAUGACGAAAUCUUUUCCUCUUUUCCCGGAAGUAGCUACUCUGCCGGAGCAUGUCGUAAGAGAGUAGUUUUCAGGUUUCUCCCGAACGUUAAACAGACUGAAGAAUUCAGGCGAGGCAAGAGACCGGUUGCUUUGGUCGUCAAUAAUGGCGUACAUCCUGAUAAUUUUGUUUGUCUUGUCCUUGUGGUACACGUCCACAGGUAAUAUCUUGGCAUAAGAUUUCUCGCUCUUAUGAUCUUUGUAGAUCUCUGUGCAGAUCGAACUUACAGAGGUUAACUUUGUUUCAGCUGACUCUGUCUGCUCCCCGCCGUAGACUUGUGUUAGCUCCCGCCGUAGGCUUGUCUGGGUGAGCUAAACUGGGAACUUUCAGAUUGUUGUGGUCUAGUGAUGUGAAGUGCUGUGGUAUGUCGUUCACUUCCACACUCGUUACAACUGAUACUUGCGUUGCAGUCCCGACUUCUGUGUGUGGUUGACUCACAACACUUGUAGCACACAUUGUUUUGUCUUAACAGUUCCUUGCGUUCCUCGAUUGGUUUGGCUCGGAAUGCUCGGCAUUCAUUCAAGGUAUGCUUUGUCUUGUGUAGGAUACACAGAUUUUGUUGUUGACUGCUGUCUUCAGUUUGCUGUUCAACAGCCGUCUUAUGGACGUUGACUUUAGAGUACGUCUGAGGUGUGAACCUUGGCGUAGAGUCUUUUGUAUUUGGUGUUACUUUUGUCCCAAAGAUGAACCCAGGAUCGUUCUUAAUUUUGCUCAUUUCCCUGAUGAAGGCAGAGAAUUCUGUAAAAGGUGGAAAGGCAACUUCAUAUUUAGACUUGUAUCUUGAAGCCCUUGUUAUCCACUUUUCUUGGAGUCCGUAUGGUAGUUUUUCCACAAUAGGAUUUACCCCCUUUGACGAAGUCGAAGUAAGCUAGCAAACAUCCCAGCUUGGGAUUUUCCUUUGUGAUAUUCUAUUUCUGAGAUAAUGUCUGACAAAUCGUAAAGGACGUGAGUUGUCUUUAUUUGUCAAGUGUUGGAAAGUUGUCAAGUUUACUUGACGAGAGACGUCUGCAACAUUAUCUGGAGCACCAUAUCGCUCGUCCAGUCUUUCCCAUAAUCUGUGUAGGCCUCUUGUUGGGUUGUUGGCAUUUGAUGCCCUUAUACUCAUGGCAUGUUUACCAGACUCUGGUCCAAGCCACUUUAAUAAGUAGGUCUAUCUGUUCUGAGUCUGAAACUUGUAGUUCGUCUAUGACAUUUUUAAAGCUGGCUUUCCAUGUAUGAAAGGAUUCUGCCUGGUCGUUAAAGCUUGUUAGCCGGGAGAACAGCAAGGUCCUUUGCGUAAGGAGAAAUCUGGUUAUCUCUAACGUAGGGAUUGUUUUGUUGCUGGUAUGCUACAGGGUUCUCUUCUAUUACGCCUUGUUUUGGGUGUGAAACAGGGAUCUCUUCUAUGACGCCUUGAUUUUGGUGUAAGACAGGGAUCUUUUCUGAAACGCCCUGUUUUCCUAUGUUAGUUAUUGUUCCCAGAUCUGGGAAUGCAUUAACAUCUGGUGACUUAGCACGUGUAGGCAAGACCUUGGGUGUUUGUGAUGGCAAGUUCAGUGCCACAGAUGGCACGAACGCUGGUGCUUCAUGACUCAGCUCAAUUUUAACAGGAAUUUGUUUUUUCUUUUGAGGUCCUGUUACUUCCUUUACAGCAGUUGAUACAGGAAGUUUAUUGACGAAAUCUUGCACACGCUGGAGCGGGUCUUCCUUUUCGUCAGGGAGAUCGCUAAACGCUUGGCUGUCAUCGUAUUCCAGGAUACGAGCCUCGGCUUCUGCGGCUGCAGCUUCUCUCUGUGCUUCAAGAAGGUUAAAUUUGGCUUUAAGCUCGACCUUUUCCCGGCUUACUCGUGCGGCUUCUUGUUGCAUUUGAGCCUUACGUUGAGCGACUUCUUGUUCCAUUUCUGCCUUUUUACGUGUGGCUUCCUGUUCCAUUUCAAUUUGUCUGGACAGGGCUUGUUCCUCUAACAGUGCUUCCUGUUGUAGGAUAAGGGCAUGUUUUUUCUACAAAGGCUAUUUUAGACUUGGCAGCCUCUGCCUUGGCACGCUUUCUCCGUGCUAGGCUUGACAUGUCUGACACGUUAGAGCUACCACUGCGUGAGGUUUUCUUACCUUUUGACCCUGAGGUCCUUGUUUUAGUUGAUUUAGACUUAGUGAGGGCAAGGCGAUGCUCGUGUAAAGAGUCCAUGGCCAGUUCCACUUUGGACAGACGGAGAUCCAAUGUAAGGUUACAUGCGUCUAUGUCUUUUUGACUGUCCAACGUUCUGGUCCUUUUUAGAAAGUCCAGAUAUUCGUCUGUGAGCCUACGAUAAUUUGUACAGGCUUUUACAAGAUUUGUCCUGGGCUGUUAAGACUUGCUGAAGUUCAUUGGGAGGUGUGGUGAUUUCCGAAUAACUGGGUCGUUAUAUGUCUGACCAAAGGACCUCUAAUUCCUCACAGAACUUGUUACGUCUUUUCUGUGUAGGCUCCUUUACCUUUUUCGGUGAGAUCCCGUACUCGCCUAGUCUCGGGAUUUUCAUCUAAAUGUGUGGUAUUAGACGGAUUUUGUAAUAGUUCUAGAUCUGGGACAUUUCCUUCUUGGGGCUGAAUCUCUUCUUGUUGCUCCACAUGACUGGGAUCCAUGUUGACUCAACGUUGUUGGGUUGCUGCCGAGUACACACAAGUUAUGUAGUCCACUGUCAGUGUAAAGGUAUGAACGUUGCUACGUUGUCGUUCCUUGUCUGGAUAUGUAAAGACAGGUUGUCGUCAAUUUACUGUACGUCAAGGGAUGACGCGUACAUGCAGGGCUCAACAGGUAGGUUGCUGUGUAGCUGUGGAGUGGCGUUAUCUGUGAGACACAACAGGCAAGUUGUAGACUUUUUACUGUAAUGGCCUGACCAUUAAGUUUAACCGACGAUUGGGCUCAAGCAGAAAAGACUAUCAGGUGCUGAUACUUUAUUCUUAAACCAAUCUAACAAAUGGUAAAAAGCUGAAAAACAAAUAAAAUACAAUUUUACAAUGUGUUCAAUUAAUGUUAUUAAAACGAAAUGUCAAAGGUAAUAGAUAGCACAGUCCGUUGAAUCCGAGAAAAUGUUGUACUUUCAAGAGCAGUUAAAUUUCCAGUGUUUCACGGAGAGAAUGUUCAAAUAUGUAUAGAGUAAUUUGAAGGCUUCAAAAACAAUGUUGUAAAGUUAACUCACUCUGUGGUUAGCCACGAAUUGUGUCCUAGAUGACGUUUGUCCUUUGAAAAGUUCUCCAGAACUGGUAUGACCUUGCAAUGUUCGGUUUGAGAUCCGUGUGAGCAGGGGAAAGGUAGCGAUGAUACGAUGUUUUAAUGUUCUUAUAAGGUUAAAGAUGAAUAAUCCUCCUAGACUGGAACACAUAAAUAGAUUAAGAAUAUAAUCAAACGAACUAUAUAAAUUACGGAACGGUGUAACAGAAUAACAAUCCUUAAAAUUAGCUAUUCAAGGUACUUUUUGCCCUGAAGGAACUGAAAACGGAUAAUUUGAUAAGGCUAGUAAUAAAUCAUGUCAUUACCGAAGGACUGAACUCUAAGCUGGAAACAACUCUAUAAGGAAACUAUGGUGAAUUCGCUAAAGUGGCUUAUAAUACUUGUCGUUUCUAAUGUAUAAUAAUCAUCAUUACCUUUUAUAGUUUUCAUGAAAAAAAUAUUAAAAAAAACAUUUGGCGGAAUUUAGAAAAAAUAAUUUCAGUGACAAUAACUCUUUUAUGGAUUGUCUGAUUACUCUGUUGAUUCAACAAAGUGAUAGGUCUUGGUUUGCUGAUAGAUUUAACUAUUUUAGAUUUGUUGUUUCUGACUUGUAUAAGAUUUGUAACUCUGGUGAUACAAUAUCAAUUACGAACUUUCUGAUGCCACAUAUGUUGAUACAUUUUGAAAUACUAGACAUCUAAAUAUCAAAAGCUGUUUUUAAGGAUGUACUUAGGGGAAAUUUAAAAAAUCAACAAAUUAAAAUUGAUACUAUAUAUCGAAAGAGCAUCAGUAAAAGAAAAAAAUAUGCUAAAAAUAUUGACGUGUCAUGGAGCUCCUUUUCGAGAUAUUUGAGUUUUUAUAAAUGGCGGGAAAAACUGACUGAGACUUUUACUUUACAUUUGCAUUGGUAUUAUUUGGGUCUCAAAUCAAAAGAACAAAAAUCAAGAAUCUGCUUUAAUUUUGGAAAAUGGCCUUUUAUGAGCUAUUAAAGUUUUCUAUGAAAAGAAAAAUGGGUGUUAUGGGGCAAACUAUUUUACCCUGUAUUGAUGGAAAAAAAAAAACAAGAAGUCCGAACGUUUGACACCAAUUUCCAAAACCUCACCUAAGUACAUCCUUAAGACUAUAUAUUUUUUCAUAGGUAGUUGUAUGGAAAAUUCAAGAAAUGCAACCAAACCUAAAGUAAUCUACAAAGUUAACAACAUAAAAAUUCCAGAAAACCGUACAACAGGCUGUUCAGAUAACGAAAUACAAACAUUAGAUUGUUUGAAUGGCGGAGUUUGCUUUACCGUUGAUGAAUUUGAUAGAAUAGUGCUAUGUGCGUGAGUAUCUGAUAGAAAAUUGCUCUGUGCGUGAAUCAUUAUUUUAUAUAUGAUUGAUAUUGUAUAAAUACCUAAUAUCUUGCAGUUUUGAAAGUUGAUACAUAUAUUUUCCACUACACAUUAUAAAUAAUAAUUUAACAUUUUUCCCUGUGCAUUGUACUUGUGAAGAUACGGACAUUUCAUCAUUAUUUUUUCCACACGGAUAACCUUACAAUACUUGUUUUAAACAUUAGGUUCAGUAGUGUUGUAUCAGAAAGGGUCACAUACGGGCUAAUUUGGGACAUUUUAAAACGUUUUCUAUUAAAUGAUUAUUUUGUAGUUCAUAGAAAUUAGGUUUCAUUCAUCAGGCUAAUUUUAAGAAGGUGAUUCUUCUUUUACAACUUGAUAACACUAUUCUUAUUAUAUUGUUAACUGGAAUGGCGUUGAUAUUUACUUAUUGGACAAACCCGCAACUUCGAGUCAUUAAACUUACAUCUAAGAUAAAUUUCUUGUUGCAGAUGCUACAAACAUUAUAUUGGUAGCCGCUGUCAAAUGAUAAACCCCAACAUAACAUUAAAACAAUUUGAAGGUACGACUCACUUUAACUUAUAACUGUAAACUAUAUAUGUAUAUUAAAAUAUAGUAAAGACAGUAGAAAAAACCGACAAGUAAGAAUAAUCGACAAUAUGAUAUGAUAUCAUUUAUUCGUAUAUCAUCUCCUUUUAUAAGUACAUAUGUACAAAUCGUUAGGUUAUUUCACAUGCACAGAAUUAUAUGUUUAAAAAAUAUUGUAAGUGUUUUAAAGUGUCUUUUAGUUUCUAAGAACCUAUUGAAUAGUUUCAUGCGUCUAUAUAAUUUGAAAUUGAAAUACGCAAAACCGAUAACUCUUCUGUUUAUUCUUAUUUAAAAACCUUGUACUCAAGUUAUCAGUGAUAUCUAUAACGAAAAAAACCUGCUGUUUUGUCAAUAUUUCCAUUCAUGUUAUCGUAUUCAUACCAUAUUGACCGGAAUGAAUAUUCACAAUUAAAGCUGAUGAAAGAGUUGGGAUGCUGAGACUUGAUGUUUAAACAGUGUACCCUAUACAACUUAUUGAUUUUAGUAUGCAUAAAUACGUUUGUCGAUACAAAACUACGAGGGAAAAACAAAACGGGAUUGAAAUUAUCCAAUGUGUAUGCAAACAUUACCUGAUUUUACUGACCAUUUUGAGUUCAAUACAAUCAAAACUUACGUUACUCCAUCAGUGCAGGAGAAUGAGAGAACAAGCGCCAUUGGAAAAUUCAAAAUGCAGUGGCCAGCAACGAAAAACAAAUGAAAAACCAAUUGAAAAAGCUUAAUUUAAUUCGAUUUAAGAAGAAUUUUCAGUAAAAGUAUGUGGUGAUACUAAAUGCGGUGAAUAUCCAAAAUGAUACAAUUUUCUAGAAACUGAUAGGCCGAUAAGUUUUCCAAAUUCAAAAACAUUUGACAUAUUAGUAAUCCAAUCUUAUAUAUUGUAUCACGUAUGUAAAUUGCCAAAAAUAUGAUAAAGGACAGAACAGUUACAUUAUUUAUGAAAUGGUUUGUGUCCACUAGCUAGGAAAACAUGAAACAUCCACCAUAUCGGAAAUUUUUACCAUAUAUAUUUAAAUAAUUCCUAAAAAAAAUAACGAGAUUCAAUUAGAUACUUAUAGAUUUUUCUUCAUUGCAUUUUGAUUGUUUGAACAGAGAAGAAAGAUGGCAGAAAUAGACUCAUUCCAGGUAUUACAGCAUCAGUCGUCGCUGUAUUUAUUUUUGUUAUGAUAGUUAUAGCCAUACGACGAAUUGAGGGAAAGUAGG
This 8715-nucleotide long non-coding RNA is filed under the name Mytilus galloprovincialis (Mediterranean mussel). Lineage: Eukaryota; Metazoa; Mollusca; Bivalvia; Mytilida; Mytilidae. The record is from RNAcentral.